Molecule: ribosomal RNA, 1051 nt
Filed under: Staphylococcus aureus
Lineage: Bacteria; Bacillati; Bacillota; Bacilli; Caryophanales; Staphylococcaceae
Description: partial 23S ribosomal RNA
Rfam family: Bacterial large subunit ribosomal RNA
Source: RNAcentral
CACGUGAAAUUCCGUCGGAAUCUGGGAGGACCAUCUCCUAAGGCUAAAUACUCUCUAGUGACCGAUAGUGAACCAGUACCGUGAGGGAAAGGUGAAAAGCACCCCGGAAGGGGAGUGAAAUAGAACCUGAAACCGUGUGCUUACAAGUAGUCAGAGCCCGUUAAUGGGUGAUGGCGUGCCUUUUGUAGAAUGAACCGGCGAGUUACGAUUUGAUGCAAGGUUAAGCAGUAAAUGUGGAGCCGUAGCGAAAGCGAGUCUGAAUAGGGCGUUUAGUAUUUGGUCGUAGACCCGAAACCAGGUGAUCUACCCUUGGUCAGGUUGAAGUUCAGGUAACACUGAAUGGAGGACCGAACCGACUUACGUUGAAAAGUGAGCGGAUGAACUGAGGGUAGCGGAGAAAUUCCAAUCGAACCUGGAGAUAGCUGGUUCUCUCCGAAAUAGCUUUAGGGCUAGCCUCAAGUGAUGAUUAUUGGAGGUAGAGCACUGUUUGGACGAGGGGCCCCUCUCGGGUUACCGAAUUCAGACAAACUCCGAAUGCCAAUUAAUUUAACUUGGGAGUCAGAACAUGGGUGAUAAGGUCCGUGUUCGAAAGGGAAACAGCCCAGACCACCAGCUAAGGUCCCAAAAUAUAUGUUAAGUGGAAAAGGAUGUGGCGUUGCCCAGACAACUAGGAUGUUGGCUUAGAAGCAGCCAUCAUUUAAAGAGUGCGUAAUAGCUCACUAGUCGAGUGACACUGCGCCGAAAAUGUACCGGGGCUAAACAUAUUACCGAAGCUGUGGAUUGUCCUUUGGACAAUGGUAGGAGAGCGUUCUAAGGGCGUUGAAGCAUGAUCGUAAGGACAUGUGGAGCGCUUAGAAGUGAGAAUGCCGGUGUGAGUAGCGAAAGACGGGUGAGAAUCCCGUCCACCGAUUGACUAAGGUUUCCAGAGGAAGGCUCGUCCGCUCUGGGUUAGUCGGGUCCUAAGCUGAGGCCGACAGGCGUAGGCGAUGGAUAACAGGUUGAUAUUCCUGUACCACCUAUAAUCGUUUUAAUCGAUGGGGGGACGCAGUAG